Molecule: long non-coding RNA, 476 nt
Filed under: Physcomitrium patens
Lineage: Eukaryota; Viridiplantae; Streptophyta; Bryopsida; Funariales; Funariaceae
Description: long non-coding RNA (PPAT_LNC001818)
Source: RNAcentral
AAAUGGUUCAUGAAGGAGGUAUUGGGGCUCAAAAUUUAGUAUUCAGAUUGGAAUAGGAAGCUGUCAAAUACUUGAUUGGAUUAUCUUAUAUUUCUUUCAAUUAAUAAGUGCGAUCAUUCUCAUCUUUCUUAUACUUGUUUUUAAACAAGAUAUAAAAAAGCGUGAAAUUUUUGAGUUGAUAUCAAUGAUUUGAUUAUUAGUUGUUGAAGUUUUAAUUUACUACGGGAUUUUAUUUAGGAUUUUUCUAUGAUUUGAGUAGGGCUUAGGAUUUGGUUUAGGAUUUGGUUAGGAUUAGGAUUUAUUUGGGAUUUGGUUUAGAACUUGACUAAAAAUUGAUUAAAAUUUGUUUAGUAUUUUGUAGGAUUUAAGGUUUCAUUAAGAUGUGACAUAUAAUUGGAUAAGAUUUAAUUAGGAUUUUAAUUAAGAUUUAAUUUAAGAUUUGGUUAAGGUUUAAUUAAGAUUUUAAUUAGAAUUAU